This 298-nucleotide ribosomal RNA is filed under the name uncultured Methanomicrobiales archaeon. Its description in RNAcentral is "partial 16S ribosomal RNA". It matches the Rfam family "Archaeal small subunit ribosomal RNA", at positions 1040 to 1338 of the family's 1478-position model. Lineage: Archaea; Methanobacteriati; Methanobacteriota; Methanomicrobia; Methanomicrobiales. The record is from RNAcentral.
AACGAGCGAGACCCACGCCAACAGUUGCCAGCUCGUCCUCCGGGAUGGUGGGGACACUGUUGGGACCGCCUCUGCUAAAGAGGAGAAGGAAUGGGCAACGGUAGGUCAGCAUGCCCCGAAUUAUCUGGGCUACACGCGGGCUACAAUGGGUGGGACAAUGGGUAUCGACACCGAAAGGUGAAGGCAAUCUCCUAAACCCAUCCGUAGUUCGGAUUGUGGGCUGCAACUCGCCCACAUGAAGCUGGAAUCUGUAGUAAUCGUGUCUCAAAAUGGCACGGUGAAUAUGUCCCUGCUCCUU